Molecule: ribosomal RNA, 519 nt
Filed under: uncultured marine eukaryote
Lineage: Eukaryota
Description: SSU rRNA
Rfam family: Eukaryotic small subunit ribosomal RNA
Source: RNAcentral
AGAUUAAGCCAUGCAUGUCUCAGUAUAAGCUUCAACAUGGCAAGACUGUGAAUGGCUCAUUAAAACAGUUGUAGUUUAUUUGGUGGCCUCUUUACAUGGAUAGCCGUGGUAAUUCUAGAACUAAUACAUGCGCUCAAGCCCGACUUCGCAGAAGGGCUGUGUUUAUUUGUUACAGAACCAUUUCAGGCUCUGCCUGGUUUUUGGUGAAUCAAAAUACCUUAUGGAUUGUGUGGCAUCAGCUGGUGAUGACUCAUUCAAGCUUCUGACCUAUCAGCUUCCGACGGUAGGGUAUUGGCCUACCCUGGCAAUGACGGGUAACGGAGAAUUAGGGUUUGAUACCGGAGAGGGAGCCUGAGAAACGGCUACCACAUCUAAGGAAGGCAGCAGGCGCGCAAAUUACCCAAUCCUGACACAGAGAGGUAGUGACAAGAAAUAACAAUACAGGGCAUCCAUGUCUUGUAAUUGGAAUGAAUAGAAUGUAUACCCUUUUAUGAGUAUCAAUUGGAGGGCAAGUCUGGU